CCUGAUCCACAGAGACCAUGAGUUAAUAAAUGUUUGUUGUUUUAACGCAUUGUUUUAUGGUAAUUUGUUAUGCACCCACAGGUAACACCUGGUAAGUAGAAUGGAUGGAGAACAGGAAGAAAAGAAAAUCACCCUGAAGACAAAAGAAAACAGAAAAGGAAGACCAGAAAAGCGCGUGAUAAGGCUACCAGUAAUAUGUCAAGAAUCUGCACCCAGCAUUGCCUUUAUCUGACUGCCAACUCUGCAUCACCAUCACGUACCAGCCCUCUAUAACGGUCAGAUGGUAAGUAGAGGUGGGUGGGUAGGGGAUUGGGGGGGCUACUUUUUUAAGUAUGAAGAAGAAACAUAGAGGAAUAUAAGAAUAUCUUGCUUGAAACAUAAUCUCUAGGCCUGGGAGAAAUUGCCUUCAUCCUUCCUUCCUGUCCCCACAUCACCAAAGCUCCACCCUGCUCCUCCUUAGGGCAGGGAUAGAGCAUUAGAAGAAAGCAGGACAGUUUCCAGCUGUGCCACUCCUUUCUAGAGACAAAAGCAUUUGCUUUUUUUCUUCCUG
RNAcentral lists this long non-coding RNA (550 nucleotides) under Piliocolobus tephrosceles (Ugandan red Colobus). RNAcentral describes it as "lncRNA (ENSPTEG00000003896.1)". Lineage: Eukaryota; Metazoa; Chordata; Mammalia; Primates; Cercopithecidae. The record is from RNAcentral.